CCACGGGGGGCAGCAGUGGGGAAUAUUGGACAAUGGGCGAAAGCCUGAUCCAGCCAUGCCGCGUGUGUGAAGAAGGCCUUCGGGGUGUAAAGCACUUUCAGUGGGGAAGAAAGCCUUGGGGCUAAUACCCUCGAGGAAGGACAUCACCCACAGAAGAAGCACCGGCUAACUCCGUGCCAGCAGCCGCGGUAAUACGGAGGGUGCGAGCGUUAAUCGGAAUUACUGGGCGUAAAGCGCGCGUAGGCGGUCUGAUAAGCCGGUUGUGAAAGCCCCGGGCUCAACCUGGGAACGGCAUCCGGAACUGUCAGGCUAGAGUGCAGGAGAGGAAGGUAGAAUUCCCGGUGUAGCGGUGAAAUGCGUAGAGAUCGGGAGGAAUACCAGUGGCGAAGGCGGCCUUCUGGACUGACACUGACGCUGAGGUGCGAAAGCGUGGGUAGCAAACAGGAUUAGAUACCCCGGUAGUC
RNAcentral lists this ribosomal RNA (464 nucleotides) under Vreelandella stevensii. Its description in RNAcentral is "partial 16S ribosomal RNA". It matches the Rfam family "Bacterial small subunit ribosomal RNA", at positions 339 to 795 of the family's 1533-position model. Lineage: Bacteria; Pseudomonadati; Pseudomonadota; Gammaproteobacteria; Oceanospirillales; Halomonadaceae. The record is from RNAcentral.